AGAGUUUGAUCCUGGCUUAGGACGAACGCUGGCGGCGUGCCUAACACAUGCAAGUCGAGCGGGGAUGUCUGGGGAGCUUGCUUUCCGGACAUUCUAGCGGCGGACGGGUGAGUAACGCGUGAGCAACCUGCCUUUAACAGGGGGAUAACGCAUCGAAAGAUGUGCUAAUACCGCAUAAGACCACGGUUUCACAUGGGACAGGGGUCAAAGGAGCAAUCCGGUUAAAGAUGGGCUCGCGUCCGAUUAGCUAGUUGGUGAGAUAACAGCCCACCAAGGCGACGAUCGGUAGCCGACCUGAGAGGGUGAUCGGCCACAUUGGAACUGAGAUACGGUCCAGACUCCUACGGGAGGCAGCAGUGGGGAAUAUUGGGCAAUGGGCGAAAGCCCUGACCCAGCAACGCCGCGUGAGGGAAGAAGGGUUUCGGCUCGUAAACCUCUGUCCUGUGGGACGAAGGAAGUGACGGUACCACAGGAGGAAGCCCCGGCUAACUACGUGCCAGCCGCAGC
Molecule: ribosomal RNA, 507 nt
Filed under: uncultured bacterium
Lineage: Bacteria
Description: bacterial SSU rRNA
Rfam family: Bacterial small subunit ribosomal RNA
Source: RNAcentral